GACGAACGCUGGCGGCGUGCUUAACCCAUGCAAGUCGAACGGAAAGGCCCCCUUUUGUGGUGCUCGAGUGGCGAACGGGUGAGUAACACGUGAGUAACCUACCCUUUACUUUUGGAUAACUUCAGGAAACUGGGGCUAAUACCGGAUAGGAGCUCCUGCUGCAUGGUGGGGGUGGGGAAGUUUUGGCGGUUGGGGAUGGACUCGCGGCUUAUCAGCUUGUUGGUGGGGUAGUGGCUCACCAAGGCUUUGACGGGUAGCCGGCCUGAGAGGGUGACCGGCCACAUUGGGACUGAGAUACGGCCCAGACUCCUACGGGAGGCAGCAGUGGGGAAUAUUGCACAAUGGGCGGAAGCCUGAUGCAGCAACGCCGCGUGCGGGAUGACGGCCUUCGGGUUGUAAACCGCUUUCGCCUGUGACGAAGCGUGAGUGACGGUAAUGGGUAAAGAAGCACCGGCUAACUACGUG
RNAcentral lists this ribosomal RNA (465 nucleotides) under uncultured bacterium. RNAcentral describes it as "partial 16S ribosomal RNA". It matches the Rfam family "Bacterial small subunit ribosomal RNA", at positions 28 to 507 of the family's 1533-position model. The record is from RNAcentral.